This 253-nucleotide ribosomal RNA is filed under the name uncultured bacterium. RNAcentral describes it as "partial 16S ribosomal RNA". It matches the Rfam family "Bacterial small subunit ribosomal RNA", at positions 524 to 776 of the family's 1533-position model. The record is from RNAcentral.
UACGGGGGGGGCGAGCGUUGUUCGGAAUUACUGGGCGUAAAGGGCGCGUAGGCGGUCUGCUAAGUUGGAUGUGAAAACUCUGGGCUUAACCCAGAGCCUGCAUUCAAAACUGACAGGCUAGAGUUCUGGAGGGGAUAGCGGAAUUCCUGGUGUAGCGGUGAAAUGCGUAGAUAUCGUCUGGAACGCCGAAGGUGAAAGCAGCUCGCUGGGGUUGUGCUGACGCUGAGACACGAAAGCCAGGGGAGCGAACGGG